UGCAGUCGACGACUCUGGUAUUGAUUGGUGCUUGCAUCAUGAUUUACAUUUGAGUGAGUGGCGAACUGGUGAGUAACACGUGGGAAACCUGCCCAGAAGCGGGGGAUAACACCUGGAAACAGAUGCUAAUACCGCAUAACAACUUGGACCGCAUGGUCCGAGCUUGAAAGAUGGCUUCGGCUAUCACUUUUGGAUGGUCCCGCGGCGUAUUAGCUAGAUGGUGGGGUAACGGCUCACCAUGGCAAUGAUACGUAGCCGACCUGAGAGGGUAAUCGGCCACAUUGGGACUGAGACACGGCCCAAACUCCUACGGGAGGCAGCAGUAGGGAAUCUUCCACAAUGGACGAAAGUCUGAUGGAGCAACGCCGCGUGAGUGAAGAAGGGUUUCGGCUCGUAAAACUCUGUUGUUAAAGAAGAACAUAUCUGAGAGUAACUGUUCAGGUAUUGACGGUAUUUAACCAGAAAGCCACGGCUAACUACGUGCCAGCAGCCGCGGUAAUACGUAGGUGGCAAGCGUUGUCCGGAUUUAUUGGGCGUAAAGCGAGCGCAGGCGGUUUUUUAAGUCUGAUGUGAAAGCCUUCGGCUCAACCGAAGAAGUGCAUCGGAAACUGGGAAACUUGAGUGCAGAAGAGGACAGUGGAACUCCAUGUGUAGCGGUGAAAUGCGUAGAUAUAUGGAAGAACACCAGUGGCGAAGGCGGCUGUCUGGUCUGUAACUGACGCUGAGGCUCGAAAGUAUGGGUAGCAAACAGGAUUAGAUACCCUGGUAGUCCAUACCGUAAACGAUGAAUGCUAAGUGUUGGAGGGUUUCCGCCCUUCAGUGCUGCAGCUAACGCAUUAAGCAUUCCGCCUGGGGAGUACGGCCGCAAGGCUGAAACUCAAAGGAAUUGACGGGGGCCCGCACAAGCGGUGGAGCAUGUGGUUUAAUUCGAAGCUACGCGAAGAACCUUACCAGGUCUUGACAUACUAUGCAAAUCUAAGAGAUUAGACGUUCCCUUCGGGGACAUGGAUACAGGUGGUGCAUGGUUGUCGUCAGCUCGUGUCGUGAGAUGUUGGGUUAAGUCCCGCAACGAGCGCAACCCUUAUUAUCAGUUGCCAGCAUUAAGUUGGGCACUCUGGUGAGACUGCCGGUGACAAACCGGAGGAAGGUGGGGAUGACGUCAAAUCAUCAUGCCCCUUAUGACCUGGGCUACACACGUGCUACAAUGGAUGGUACAACGAGUUGCGAACUCGCGAGAGUAAGCUAAUCUCUUAAAGCCAUUCUCAGUUCGGAUUGUAGGCUGCAACUCGCCUACAUGAAGUCGGAAUCGCUAGUAAUCGCGGAUCAGCAUGCCGCGGUGAAUACGUUCCCGGGCCUUGUACACACCGCCCGUCACACCAUGAGAGUUUGUAACACCCAAAGUCGG
This 1405-nucleotide ribosomal RNA is filed under the name Lactiplantibacillus plantarum. RNAcentral describes it as "bacterial SSU rRNA". It matches the Rfam family "Bacterial small subunit ribosomal RNA", at positions 56 to 1430 of the family's 1533-position model. The record is from RNAcentral. Lineage: Bacteria; Bacillati; Bacillota; Bacilli; Lactobacillales; Lactobacillaceae.